RNAcentral lists this unclassified non-coding RNA (479 nucleotides) under Malassezia japonica. Lineage: Eukaryota; Fungi; Basidiomycota; Malasseziomycetes; Malasseziales; Malasseziaceae. The record is from RNAcentral.
UUUUCCUUUGCCAGACGACUUGAAUGGGAACAGGGUGCUGUAAGCAGUAGAGUAGCCUCGUUGCUACGAUCUGCUGAGGCUAAGCCUUUGUUCUAUAGAUUUGUUUGACACAGUCAAACCACUUCUUCCCAGUACGCACCCAAUGGAGGUGUGUACCAUCGACAGUCCCCACACACGCACAAGUCCCAGCGUCGGCCAGCGCGUAGGUGGAUCUUAUCCUAUUCCCCUUUUCCUUCUCCUUUCCCUUCCCUUUCCCUUGCCCUGCUUCCCUCUUCCCUAUCCCUUACCCCCUCCCUCGCCCUCUCUUGGCCUCGCACAUGCGCGCGUGCACUUGCUCUCCAGCACUUGCACGCGCGCGCCCAGACGCUUGCCCCCCCGAACUUUCCCCUUUAUUACCGUGCCUACGACACUAGUCACCAUCUGCGGCCACAGAACCAUGAAAGCACCGUAUCCCGUCCGAUCUGCGAAAGUCAAGCAUA